GUGCAAUCGCGCAAUUACGAAGUUAUAGAGUAAGCUACAGGUGGUCGCGGUUUCUUUUACGAGUUUAUUCUAACACUAUCGAGGGAGCUGGAUGUUGACACAGGAUUGUGUUGAUUAGCGAGUGUGGCUAAGUUGAUGCGCCACGCGUUUAGACGAGGCCUGGUAGCGCAGGGGUGAUUAUAUUAGUGUACACCGUUAGGAACAUCUGGAAAAAUUCUGACAGAGUUUCUCCAUUCACGUUCCAGACCUGCCUGAUUACUGAACUCUUGCUUGGAGCUUCUGCACUUCCUCACCUUCUGCUGCUCUGAAUGGUACCACCGUAAAGAAUUAGACUACCCAAAAAAAAAUUAUUCCUAAAUCUCAGGGAAUCUUAAUUGUAUAUUUCAGAUUUGCAUUCAAGAACUGCUGUAAUCAUGAAGACUGUCCCCUUUUAAACAGUUGUAGAAAACAUCUCACUAUUUGAAGUCAAGUCAAGAAGCUUUUAUUGUCAUUUAUAAAGCUGAAGCAGUACAUAGUGAAAUGACACAGAGUUUCUAAAUAUGACCACAAUCAUGUUCCCCAAACACUUUAAUUUCAUUUAAAAGUUAGCUUAAUACAUUUCCCUUAAAAAAAAACAAAAAAAACAAAGCGUCAUAGCUACCAGCCAAUCAGCAGCUAGGUAAAACUGUUAAUGCUCUGUGAUUGGCUACUUCCAACCAUUCCAGCCAAUAGCAUGUCAUAAUGGCUGUACUGUACAUAUGUGAUAUCAGCGAUGUUCAAUAUCAUUAAA
This is a long non-coding RNA of Hemibagrus wyckioides, 769 nucleotides long. RefSeq lists it as uncharacterized. The record is from RefSeq and is a predicted model, not a curated record. The transcript has 3 exons. NCBI's taxonomy places the organism in Eukaryota, Metazoa, Chordata, Actinopteri, Siluriformes, Bagridae.